UGUGGCAUUCGUUAGCCAAUGGUGUCCUU
Molecule: non-coding RNA, 29 nt
Filed under: Homo sapiens (human)
Lineage: Eukaryota; Metazoa; Chordata; Mammalia; Primates; Hominidae
Source: RNAcentral